Non-coding RNA from Macaca mulatta (Rhesus monkey), 2888 nucleotides. The record is from RefSeq and is a predicted model, not a curated record. Lineage: Eukaryota; Metazoa; Chordata; Mammalia; Primates; Cercopithecidae.
AGUUAUUAACCCAUCAUGUGUUUGGAUUUUUUCUCCCCAGUCCCUGGCUCCACCUCUUCUACCACAAACGUCAGCAUGGUGGUAUCUGCGGGCCCUUGGCCCAGUGAGAAGUCAGAGAUGAAUACUCUAGAAAUCAACGAGAAACUGCGCCCCCAGCGGGCAGAGAACAAACGUCAAUUCAUAAACACCAAGGAGAAAUAUCUUGUAACUCAAGUGGCCUACUUUCUGGCCAAGGGGCAGAACAGUUACAACUAUGAAGAGUGCAAAGACCUCCUAAAAUCUAUGCUGCGGGAUGAGCUUCAGUUAAAGGAGGAGAAGCUUGCAGAGCAGCUCGGGCAAGCUGAAGAGCUCAGACAAUAUAAAGUCCUGGUUCAGUCUCAGGAACGAGACUGAGCCAAUUAAAGGAGAAGUUGCGGGAAGGGAGAGAUGCCUCCCGCGCAUUGAAUCAGCAUCUCCAGGCCCUCCUCACUCCGGAUGAGCCGGCCACCUCCCAGGGGCGGGACCUCCGAGAACAGCUGGCCGAGGGCUGUAGGCUGGCACAGCACCUCGUCCGAAAGCUCACCCCAGAAAACGGUGAAGAUGAGGAUGAAGAUGUGAACGUUGAGGAAACUGAAAAAGUACAGGAAUCACGUGCCCCCAGGGAGGUGCAGAAGGCUGAGAGAAGGAAGAACCUGCGGACUCACUGGAGGAAUAUUCCAUCGCUUGUUCAAAUAGCCACGGUCCUUGUGAGUCCCACCAGCCUCACAGCGACACCAAAAUCACAUUUGAGGAAGACCAAGUCAACUCACAUCUCAUUGACUCAUCCUCUCAUGAUGAAUGGGAGGAUGCUGUAUCCAUUAUCCCAGAAAAUGAAAGUGAUCAUGAAGAAGAGGAAGAAAAAGGGCCAGUGUCUCCCAGGAAUCUGCAGGAGUCUGAAGGAGGAAGCUCUCCAGGAAUCCUGGGAUGAAGGUUAUUCGACUCCCUCAAUUCCUCCUGACAUGUCUGCCUCAUACCGUCUUACAGCAGCACCUUUCACUCAUUAGAGGAACACAAGCCCCAUCUGAAUUUAUUUGCAGGACAUUGGUGUGAUGAAGUGAAAAAGGAGGACCAAGAGGCCACAGGUCCAGGUGAGUCUGAGAAAUUGUGGACAGAACUGCUGGAUGAGAAAGAGCCUGAAGCCUUGCAGGACUCACUGGAUAGAUUUUAUUCAACCCUUGCGGGUAUCUUGAACUGCCUGACUUAUGCCAGCCCUACAGAAAUGCCUUCUGUUCGUUGGAAGAAGAGCACUUUGGCUUGGCUCUUGACAUGGACAAAAUUGAAAAGUACCAAGAAGGGGAAGAAGAUCAAAACCCACCAUGCCCCAGGCUCAACGGGGUGCUGAUGGAAGCAGGAGAGCCUGAAGUCUUGCAGGACUCACUGAAUGGAUGUUAUUGGACUCCUUCAAGUUACUUUCUACUACCUGACUCAUUCCAGCACUACACAAGUGGCUUUUACUCACUUGAGGAACAGCACGUCAGCUUGGCCCUUGACGUGGACAAUGGGUUUUUACUUUGACGAUGAUAAGGUUCCACCUGGGUUUCCAGAUGGGAGUCCUAUUCCCAUACUAAGCAGCCCUUCCUAAGCUGAGAGAUGUCAUUGCCGCAGGCAGGACUUACAGGCACAUGUAGGUUUGAAUGAAACUGUAGUUCCGUUUGGAAUCCCAGAUAUAGGAUAGGAAAGUGGGCAGAACUCUAUUCCAUUCUCAGACCAUGCAUGGCAACCUGUGCUCAGUCUGAAGACACUGGACCCAAGUUAGGUGUGACACGUUCACAUAACUCUGCAGCACAUGCCGGGAGUGAAUGUGAGAUAUUCUGAUUUGAACCAGGUAUCUCUGGGUAGCUACAAAGUUCCUCAAGGAUUUCAUUUUACGGGCAUGUCUCUGAGCUUCUAUGCCUGCUCAAGGUCAGUGUCAUCUUUGUGUUUAAGUCAUCCAAAGGUGUUACCCUGGUUUCAAUGAACCUCCCCCAUUCUUUGUAUCUUCAGUGUUGGUUUGUUUUAGCUGAUCCAUCUGUAACACAGGAGGGAUCCUUGGCUGAGGAUUGUAUUUCAGAACCACUGACCGCUCUUGACAAUUGUUAACCCACUAGGCUCCUUUGGUUAGAGAAGCCACAGUCCUUCAGCCUCCAAUUGCUAUCAAUACUUAGGAAGACCACAGCUAGAUGGACAAACAGCGUGGAGAGCCCUUAGCCCGGCUCCUCUCAAUUCCAUCCUGUAAAGAACAGGAGCCAGGAGCCGCUGGCAGGAGACAGCAUGUCACCCGGGACUCUGCCGGUGCAGAAUAUGAACAAUGCCAUGUUCUUGCAGAAAACGCUUAGCCUGAGUUUCAUAGGAGGUAAUCACCGGACAACUGCAGAAUGUAGAACACUGAGCAGGACGACUGGCCUGUCUCCUUCACACAGUCCAUGUCACCACGAAUCUCACAACAAAAAGGAGAAGAGAUAUUUUGGGUUCAAAGAAAGUAAAAAGGUACUGUAGCUACAUUUCUUUAUUUUGAACCCCAAAUAUUUCCUCAUCUUUUUGUUGUUGUCAUUGAUUGUGGUGACAUGGACUCGUUUGUAGAGGACAGGUCAGCUGUCUGGCUCAAUGAUCUACAUUCUGAAGUUGUCUGAAAAUGUCUUCAUGAUUCAAUUCAGCCUAAACGUUUUGCCAGGAACACUGCAGAGUCAAUACUGUGACUUUCCAACCUCAGCCUGUCUAUCUGCGGGCAUAGAAGGUCUAGUUUGUCCAUCACCAUUAUCAUGAUAUCAGGACUGGUUACUUGGUUAAGGAGGGGUCUAGGAGAUCUGUUGCUUUUAAAGACACCUUACUUAUAAUGAAGUAUUUGAGAAAGUGGUUUUUAAAAGUAUAAAUGUCAUGUAUUCCAAUCAUCA